ACUGCGUUCGCGCUCUCCCCUGA
This 23-nucleotide non-coding RNA is filed under the name Cricetulus griseus (Chinese hamster). RNAcentral also lists the same sequence under 1 other name. Lineage: Eukaryota; Metazoa; Chordata; Mammalia; Rodentia; Cricetidae. The record is from RNAcentral.